Molecule: unclassified non-coding RNA, 202 nt
Filed under: Hevea brasiliensis (rubber tree)
Lineage: Eukaryota; Viridiplantae; Streptophyta; Magnoliopsida; Malpighiales; Euphorbiaceae
Source: RNAcentral
CUUGACCUUUUCCUUUCCUAUCCCUCUCCAUUUCUCCAUCCAAAAAAAUUGUUCAUAAAUUUUAUUUUCUAAUCUGGAUUCUGUUUCUAGACAUUAGGCAUUAUCUUUAUGCAAGUUGGUCUCAAAUUCAUCAAAAAAUAUAAAUGCUGCUGUCUACAUAUAACAAAGGGAGUUUUUCAUAAUUUUACCUGAUGAGCCAAAG